Molecule: non-coding RNA, 134 nt
Organism: Triticum aestivum (bread wheat)
Lineage: Eukaryota; Viridiplantae; Streptophyta; Magnoliopsida; Poales; Poaceae
Source: Rfam
UAUAUACCCCCUCCGUUCCAAAAUUCUUAUCUUAAAUUUAUCUAAAUACGGAUGUAUCAAGUCAAGUUUGAGUGCUAGAUACAUCUAUAUCUAGCAAAUCUAAAAUAAGAAUUUUGAGACGGAGGGAGUAUAAU